AUGGUCCAAUGGUUUUGUUUUAUGCCAAUUUUCCAAAACGAUGGACACAUCGUUGACCAAUUAUAUACAGGAGGCAGGGCUUCUCUGGAAAGCCCUCCCAAAGCAGUGAGCCCCUGCAUGGUCGCCUAGGAAACCCCGUGGCGUGGUUGUGUGUCAGUUUCGCUGGGACCCGCGGUCGAUGCCGGUGAGGAGGGGGAUGGGUGCCUCAGCGAAUGUAAGGACCCGAGACAGAAUCAGAGCCCUAUACCACAUAGAGCAGCAUAUACCCUUUUAUAAAUAUCGAUUGUAAAUAUUCAUAACACCAUAAUAAAUGGACUAAACCACUGGGAUUUUAACAUAGACACUCGAUGGAAGUGCUGUGUCCAAACAGUACACGGAAUUAAACUUUAAACCUUUACGUGGGGACAGUGAGAAGUUUGUUUCCUACACCAGAAGAGGGAGCUACUUUUGAGGGCAAAGGAUACAGGAGACGCCGAGGCCGAGGUGCAGGCCUUGUGGUCUGAGUCGAUUUGAUGUUGGAAUACUCGAAGAUCUGCAUACAACACAGUUAUUUAUUUUAUUCGUACUGGAUUGGAAUGUCUCUCUAGGUCUCCCCAUGUCCGUGAGCCGUCGCCUGCGGCUCUGCGGCGCCCCACCCCUGGAGUGGUCAGUCGCUGCAGUUCGGACCCCGUGAUCGUCCACA
Long non-coding RNA from Hypomesus transpacificus, 682 nucleotides. RefSeq lists it as uncharacterized. Lineage: Eukaryota; Metazoa; Chordata; Actinopteri; Osmeriformes; Osmeridae. The record is from RefSeq and is a predicted model, not a curated record. The transcript is spliced from 2 exons.